Molecule: ribosomal RNA, 374 nt
Filed under: uncultured Streptococcus sp.
Lineage: Bacteria; Bacillati; Bacillota; Bacilli; Lactobacillales; Streptococcaceae
Description: bacterial SSU rRNA
Rfam family: Bacterial small subunit ribosomal RNA
Source: RNAcentral
UAGAAAGUUACUUCGGUACAUCGGUGACAGGUGGUGCAUGGUUGUCGUCAGCUCGUGUCGUGAGAUGUUGGGUUAAGUCCCGCAACGAGCGCAACCCCUAUUGUUAGUUGCCAUCAUUCAGUUGGGCACUCUAGCGAGACUGCCGGUAAUAAACCGGAGGAAGGUGGGGAUGACGUCAAAUCAUCAUGCCCCCUUAUGACCUGGGCUACACACGUGCUACAAUGGUUGGUACAACGAGUUGCGAGUCGGUGACGGCGAGCUAAUCUCUUAAAGCCAAUCUCAGUUCGGAUUGUAGGCUGCAACUCGCCUACAUGAAGUCGGAAUCGCUAGUAAUCGCGGAUCAGCACGCCGCGGUGAAUACGUUCCCGGGCCUU